Molecule: long non-coding RNA, 753 nt
Organism: Daphnia carinata
Lineage: Eukaryota; Metazoa; Arthropoda; Branchiopoda; Diplostraca; Daphniidae
Exons: 3
Source: RefSeq, a predicted model, not a curated record
AAGAUGUUUGUUUAGGAAUUACUACUGUUUUGUUUAUCUGGAAUGUUGUGUAGGAGUCCAUCAGGAAUUGCUGGUCUGCAGUAAAUUUGUCAGGCUAGGUGAUGAAGAUUAAUGAAUCAGAAAAUGUUUUGCAUGGGUGGUGAAUGUUCUGACAGUUUUAACAGUUGUGAUGUGGUGUGUUUCACUUCCACGCAUCAUGUAGAAGUUGGUGACCUGAAACAAUGAACAUGGAAAAAUCACCUGUGCCCACGCUGACGAUGAUACCUGUACUGAAGUGCUGGAAACAAAAAUUAAUUUUCUUUACGCUUUGGUUUCACGCUAUCUUUAUAAUUUUGUAAUAGUUUUGCGUUUAUUGAUGAGUCCGCAACCUCUUAGCUGUUUUCCUCCUUUAGAUACCGCCUGUCGACGAUUUGACAGCCUCACACAAUUAAAGAUCGUAUGCCAAAAAGUAAUAGAUCCGAUCUAAUGUAUGCAAUGUAUACUAAUUACACCAUUCAAAACAAUAUUCCAGGCUAAAGUGAGCUCUUCCGAGCAGAAAAGUGACGGCGUAUCCAUUUAAUUGAAAAUAGGCACAAGAUAACGCACAAUUGGCGUCCUUGUCACAAUGGAGAAAUUUUUCCGUGGAACUUAUUAUCGAAAAACCAUUGCAGCUGUUAAAAAAAAGAAAAUUGUAUUAUCAUACAGAUGUUGACUAGCUAACAAUCUAGAGAUAUGUCAACGUGCGAAAUUUUUAGAUGUGAGUGAAACGCAAUC